ACCUCCGCCUCCCAGGACCUCUGCCUCCCAGGUUCAAGUGAUUCUCCUGCCUCAGCCUCCCAAGUAGCUGGGACUACAGACAUGCACCACCACAUCCAGCUAAUUUCACACUGUGGUCUCAUCGGAGGAUUUGCCCAACAAAGGGCAGCAUGCAGAUGUAGUACCCUUGAGAUCCAUGUGGUUGGUGUCCCAAGGGAGACUUCU
This 204-nucleotide long non-coding RNA is filed under the name Homo sapiens (human). RNAcentral describes it as "non-protein coding lnc-CCL26-1:1". The record is from RNAcentral. Lineage: Eukaryota; Metazoa; Chordata; Mammalia; Primates; Hominidae.